ACCUACGGGGCGCAGCAGUGGGGAAUAUUGCACAAUGGGCGAAAGCCUGAUGCAGCAACGCCGCGUGAGCGAUGAAGGCCUUCGGGUCGUAAAGCUCUGUCCUCAAGGAAGAUAAUGACGGUACUUGAGGAGGAAGCCCCGGCUAACUACGUGCCAGCAGCCGCGGUAAUACGUAGGGGGCAAGCGUUAUCCGGAUUUACUGGGUGUAAAGGGAGCGUAGACGGCGGCGCAAGUCCGGAGUGAAAGACCACGGCCCAACCGUGGGACUGCUCUGGAAACUGUGCGGCUUGA
RNAcentral lists this ribosomal RNA (291 nucleotides) under uncultured bacterium. RNAcentral's name for it is "partial 16S ribosomal RNA". It matches the Rfam family "Bacterial small subunit ribosomal RNA", at positions 337 to 645 of the family's 1533-position model. The record is from RNAcentral.